This 835-nucleotide long non-coding RNA is filed under the name Gossypium barbadense (sea-island cotton). RNAcentral describes it as "long non-coding RNA (GBAR_LNC015792)". The record is from RNAcentral. Lineage: Eukaryota; Viridiplantae; Streptophyta; Magnoliopsida; Malvales; Malvaceae.
UUGGUCUUUAUUUACUAAUUUAAUUGUGGACGAUGCGGCUCCUAAGUCCUAACCGCUUGCAGUACUUUCAUAUUGAUACCAGCUUCUGGAAGCCAACUGCACCACGCUUUCUCGCUCGUUUAAACAUCUAACCGCAAUUGUUUUAUAACUAAUAUACUUGUGAUACCCAACUAUUGCCCGGGCCCAAAUCAAAUAAAAAACAAAUAAUGACAAAAAAGUCCAGUCCAUCUACACGGUCCAAAUUACAAAAAAAUUUAAAUUCAAUAUAAAACCCAAAAGGCCCAAUACUAACAGCCUGAAUUAGCCCAAGACGUAGAAACCCUAGCAGCAAACCUAGCGCCACAGCAACCUCGCCCCAAUGUCGCAGCGCUCCGUACGUUUUUCUUCCCUCGGACGCCUCCACAAACGUCGCACAUGCCGCACACGUCUUCUACAUAUCUGCAACAGACCACGAACAGUAGAGAUAGCAGAAAAUAUAGCAACAAUUAAAGAGAUUUUUAUUUUUUAUUCUUCUCUAGGAUUCGGUUAUAAAAACCGAUUGAGGCAUUUGUAAAAGGGGGUUACACAGAUAAAGAGAAAAACAAGAAAUUGAGAGGUGAGAGGUUACGGGAUUUGUAUCAAAUUAUUGAAAUAUAUACAAAAACAGAGAAUCAGAGAGCAAUUCGAAGGUCUUUUUUUCUCUUCUCGAGUUUCCUUCUUCUGACUUUUUUUAAUAGUAUUAAAAAAGGGAAGAACACUUACCUGAAGGCCAAGGCUUAUUCCUCUGUCGCAAUCGGAGGCCAGGCCGAAAUCGGGGUUUGGAGCGGCGGCGACAGUUAAAAUCGAUGUAUAGAGG